RNAcentral lists this ribosomal RNA (497 nucleotides) under uncultured bacterium. Its description in RNAcentral is "partial 16S ribosomal RNA". It matches the Rfam family "Bacterial small subunit ribosomal RNA", at positions 28 to 507 of the family's 1533-position model. The record is from RNAcentral.
GAUGAACGCUGGCGGCGUGCCUAAUACAUGCAAGUCGAGCGAACAGACGAGGAGCUUGCUCCUUUGACGUUAGCGGCGGACGGGUGAGUAACACGUAGGUAACCUACCUAUAAGACUGGGAUAACUUCGGGAAACCGGAGCUAAUACCGGAUAAUAUUUCGAACCGCAUGGUUCGAUAGUGAAAGAUGGCUUUGCUAUCACUUAUAGAUGGACCUGCGCCGUAUUAGCUAGUUGGUAAGGUAACGGCUUACCAAGGCAACGAUACGUAGCCGACCUGAGAGGGUGAUCGGCCACACUGGAACUGAGACACGGUCCAGACUCCUACGGGAGGCAGCAGUAGGGAAUCUUCCGCAAUGGGCGAAGGCCUGACGGAGCAACGCCGCGUGAGUGAUGAAGGUCUUCGGAUCGUAAAACUCUGUUAUUAGGGAAGAACAAACGUGUAAGUAACUGUGCACGUCUUGACGGUACCUAAUCAGAAAGCCACGGCUAACUACGUG